RNAcentral lists this RNase P RNA (307 nucleotides) under Candidatus Cryptobacteroides faecipullorum. Its description in RNAcentral is "RNase P RNA component class A". It matches the Rfam family "Bacterial RNase P class A". From Rfam's summary of the family: Ribonuclease P (RNase P) is a ubiquitous endoribonuclease, found in archaea, bacteria and eukarya as well as chloroplasts and mitochondria. Its best characterised activity is the generation of mature 5'-ends of tRNAs by cleaving the 5'-leader elements of precursor-tRNAs. Cellular RNase Ps are ribonucleoproteins. The record is from RNAcentral. Lineage: Bacteria; Pseudomonadati; Bacteroidota; Bacteroidia; Bacteroidales.
AAAGUUCCAAUUUUUGCCGCAAUAGAGGAAAGUCCGGACAGCACAAGGCACCCCGCUGCGGAAAUCGCAGCCGGGAGUAAUCUUGGGAGGGCCGUAACAGAAAACAACCGCGCUUAAAGCGUAAGGGUGAAAACGCGAGGCAAGAGCUCACGACGCGACAUGGCGACAUGCCGCGGGUACGGUUCCGGGGGCUGCAAGACCAAAUAUACUGGCAGUCAAGGGUCGCCUGCCCGUUGCCAGGGGGUAGGUUGCGCAGAUAAAUGGCAGAUUCAAAAACAGAAACCGGCUUACGGUCCCGCCUUUUUCU